This 500-nucleotide ribosomal RNA is filed under the name uncultured bacterium. Its description in RNAcentral is "partial 16S ribosomal RNA". It matches the Rfam family "Bacterial small subunit ribosomal RNA", at positions 30 to 523 of the family's 1533-position model. The record is from RNAcentral.
AUUGAACGCUGGCGGCAUGCCUUACACAUGCAAGUCGAACGGCAGCACGGGAGCAAUCCUGGUGGCGAGUGGCGAACGGGUGAGUAAAGUAUCGGAACGUGCCCAGUCGUGGGGGAUAACGUAGCGAAAGGUACGCUAAUACCGCAUACGAUCUACGCAUGAAAGCGGGGGAUCGCAAGACCUCGCGCGAUUGGAGCGGCCGAUAUCAGAUUAGGUAGUUGGUGGGGUAAAGGCUCACCAAGCCGACGAUCUGUAGCUGGUCUGAGAGGACGACCAGACACACUGGGACUGAGACACGGCCCAGACUCCUACGGGAGGCAGCAGUGGGGAAUUUUGGACAAUGGGCGCAAGCCUGAUCCAGCCAUGCCGCGUGCAGGAUGAAGGCCUUCGGGUUGUAAACUGCUUUUGUACGGAACGAAAAGGUUUGGCCUAAUAAGCUGGACCCAUGACGGUACCGUAAGAAUAAGCACCGGCUAACUACGUGCCAGCCGCCGCAGUAA